AUGGGGAGACCCUGGCAGCUGUUCCCACACCUGCUGCUACUGCUGGUGAACAUUCCCUGGGGGAGCUGCCAGGCUGAGGUGCACCAGGACCUGUCUGAGGUCACUCGGGAAGGGCAGAACGGCAGCAUCUCUUGCCACUACACGACAAGUAAUUUCGGGAGUGUGCAGUGGUUCACGCAGCUGCCCAGAGGCCAGCCUGUCUCCCUGCUGAUUCUGGUAUCCAAUGGGAAACAAACCAAGGAGCCCAACCUCACCGCGGAGCUCGACAAGGGGAAGCGGCUGAGUUCCCUGCACAUCAGAGAAUCACAGCUGGGAGACGCAGCCACCUACUUCUGCGCCGUGGCGACACAGCGACACAGGAGCACUGGCAGCCUGUGCAAACACUCCCCAGCUAGAGGGUAA
Non-coding RNA from Mauremys mutica (yellowpond turtle), 402 nucleotides. NCBI's taxonomy places the organism in Eukaryota, Metazoa, Chordata, Testudines, Geoemydidae. The record is from the annotation of a RefSeq genome assembly.